This 468-nucleotide ribosomal RNA is filed under the name uncultured bacterium. RNAcentral's name for it is "partial 16S ribosomal RNA". It matches the Rfam family "Bacterial small subunit ribosomal RNA", at positions 28 to 507 of the family's 1533-position model. The record is from RNAcentral.
GACGAACGCUGGCGGCGUGCUUAACACAUGCAAGUCGAACGGAAAGGCCCUGCUUUUGUGGGGUGCUCGAGUGGCGAACGGGUGAGUAACACGUGAGUAACCUGCCCUGGACUUUGGGAUAACUUCAGGAAACUGGGGCUAAUACCGGAUAGGAGCUCCUGCUGCAUGGUGGGGGUUGGCAAGUUUCGGCGGUUGGGGAGGGACUCGCGGCUUAUCAGCUUGUCGGUGGGGUAGUGGCUUACCAAGGCGUUGACGGGUAGCCGGCCUAAGAUGGUGACCGGCUACGUCGGGACUGGAGGACGGCCCAGCCUCCCACCGGAGCCAGCACUGGGGAGUAUUGCACAAGGCGCCGCAGCCAGAGGCCGCACCUCCGCGUGCGGGAUGACUGCCUCCGGUCUGUAGUCCGCGUGCUCCCGUGACUAGACCUUAGUGACGGUAAUCUGUAAAGAAUCAGCGCCUAACCACUUG